This 265-nucleotide ribosomal RNA is filed under the name uncultured bacterium. RNAcentral's name for it is "partial 16S ribosomal RNA". It matches the Rfam family "Bacterial small subunit ribosomal RNA", at positions 793 to 1055 of the family's 1533-position model. The record is from RNAcentral.
GUCCACGCCGUAAACGAUGGGUGCUAGGUGUCACGGGCUUUGACUCCUGUGGUGCCGUAGCCAACGCAUUAAGCACCCCGCCUGGGAAGUACGGCCGCAAGGCUAAAACUCAAAGGAAUUGACGGGGCCCGCACAAGCGGUGGAGCAUGUGGUUUAAUUCGACGCAACGCGAAGAACCUUACCUGGGCUAGAAAACGUAGGAACCUGGGAGAAGUCUCGGGGUGCUCUUCGGAGAAUCUGCGGUUAGGUGCUGCAUGGCUGUCGU